This 400-nucleotide unclassified non-coding RNA is filed under the name uncultured fungus. RNAcentral's name for it is "sequence contains ITS1". The stretch from base 1 to 106 matches the Rfam family "5.8S ribosomal RNA", at positions 50 to 154 of the family's 154-position model. Lineage: Eukaryota; Fungi. The record is from RNAcentral.
AAAAUGCGAUACGUAAUGCGAAUUGCAGAAUUCAGUGAAUCAUCAAAUCUUUGAACGCAAAUUGCGCUCUCGGGAUAGGCCUGGGAGCACGCCUCUUUGAGUAUCGAUUCCAACACAACUCGAAAGCGUGCUUUUUGAAUUCGUUCUUGAAGCGCGCUUCGGAUACUGAGCCUUCUCGUCCUCGGACGAGAUGCUUUAAAACUAGCGAGUGAGCACGAGGCCUAAGCUGGAAGACAAGCAUUGUCUCCGGUGACGAGGAUAACUUCACAUUCAGUUGUGAACCCUUCCAUCGUGACUGUCGAGCAGUGUCCUUUUGGCUUGUACCUCAAUGUGUUCACGGACAUCUCUGAAAUGCGUGCAAACGCCAACAGAGAACGCUUUUGAACUAGAUCUCAAAUGA